This 754-nucleotide ribosomal RNA is filed under the name uncultured soil bacterium. RNAcentral's name for it is "bacterial SSU rRNA". It matches the Rfam family "Bacterial small subunit ribosomal RNA", at positions 8 to 796 of the family's 1533-position model. The record is from RNAcentral.
AGAGUUUGAUCAUGGCUCAGGACAAACGCUGGCGGCGUGCGUAAAACAUGCAAGUCGCACGAGGGCUUCGGCCCGAGUGGCAGACGGCUGAGUAACGCGUAGGAAUCUACCCUCCAGUGGGGAAUAACGCGCUGAAAGGCGCGCUAAUACCGCAUACGGUCCCGGAGUAACCCGGGAAGAAAGCCGCAAGGUGCUGGAGGAGGAGCCUGCGUCCGAUUAGCUGGUUGGUGGGGUAACGGCCUACCAAGGCGAUGAUCGGUAGCUGGUCUGAGAGGAUGAUCAGCCAGACUGGGACUGGGACACGGCCCAGACUCCUACGGGAGGCAGCAGUUAGGAAUUUUGGGCAAUGGCCGCAAGGCUGACCCAGCAACGCCGCGUGCGGGACGAAGGCCUUCGGGUCGUAAACCGCUUUUCCCAGGGACGAUGAUGACGGUACCUGGGGAAUAAGCCCCGGCUAACUACGUGCCAGCAGCCGCGGUAAUACGUAGGGGGCAAGCGUUGUCCGGAUUCAUUGGGCGUAAAGCGCGCGCAGGCGGCUUCGCAAGUCGGCCGUGAAAUCUCCGGGCUCAACUCGGAGGGGUCGGGCGAGACUGCGAGGCUCGAGGUGGGCAGAGGGCAGUGGAAUUCCGGGUGUAGUGGUGGAAUGCGUAGAGAUCCGGAGGAACACCAGUGGCGAAGGCGGCUGCCUGGGCCUGGCCUGACGCUGAGGCGCGAAAGCGUGGGGAGCGAUCCGGAUUAGAUACCCCCGUAGUCC